This 602-nucleotide long non-coding RNA is filed under the name Homo sapiens (human). RNAcentral describes it as "non-protein coding lnc-DUPD1-3:1". Lineage: Eukaryota; Metazoa; Chordata; Mammalia; Primates; Hominidae. The record is from RNAcentral.
GAGGCAGAGAGGAGUGACCACAGAGGCAGAGGGGUGGGCGGGCUGGCCCAUGGCUGAGACCUCUCUCCCAGAGCUGGGGGGAGAGGACAAAGCCACGCCUUGCCCCAGCAUCCUGGAGCUGGAGGAGCUCCUGCGGGCAGGGAAGUCUUCUUGCAGCCGUGUGGACGAAGUUUGGCCCAACCUUUUCAUAGGAGAUGCCCAAGGUCCUGGUGCACUGUGUGGUGGGCGUGAGCCGCUCUGCCACGCUGGUCCUGGCCUACCUCAUGCUGCACCAGCGGCUGUCCCUGCGCCAGGCGGUGAUCACCGUGAGGCAGCACCGAUGGGUCUUCCCCAACCGAGGCUUCCUGCACCAGCUCUGCAGGCUGGACCAGCAACUGCGGGGUGCCGGCCAGAGCUGAGGGGCCAGAGCUGGUCCUUACUCCCUGCCAUGGGGCUCUGCCACUUUGCCACCCUGGCACUGAUCCUGCUGGUGCUGCUGGAGGCUCUGGCCCAGGCGGACACACAGAAGAUGGUGGAAGCCCAGCGUGGGGUCGGCCCUAGAGCCUGCUACUCCAUCUGGCUCCUCCUGGCGCCUACACCCCCUCUCAGCCACUGUCUUCAGU